AUGUUCUUUACACUUUGCAAGUGGAAACUUUUGACCACCACUGUAGGUAACCGAUGGGUGAGACUGUGUUUUGACGGAGACGAGCGAAACUACGAGCUGUGGGAGACGAAGCUGUUAGCACACAUGCGGCUACUGGGGCUAAAAGAAACUCUUCUAAAUGAACCCCCCGCCGACAACGUGGAGGCGGAUGUCCUGAAGAACGAGGAGCCGUAUGCCGAAAUGAUCCAGUUUUUGGACGAUAAAAGUUUGUCCCUUAUGAGAGAGGCGGCUGACAACGGGAGAAAAGCCCUUAAGAUAUUAAGGGACCAUUAUGCCGGUAAAGGAAAACCCCGUAUUAUAAGCCUGUACACCGAGCCAACAUCCCUGCAGAAAGCGGUGAGUGAAAGUGUCACGGACUCUAUUAUCCGGGCUGAGACGGCAAUAACAGCUCUAAGAAAUGCUAACGAGACACUCAGUGAUGGGCUCUUGAUUGCCAUGGUGUUAAAAGGAUUACCUGAGGCCUAUAAACCAUUUUCCAUCCAUAUCACUCAAGGAGAUGAUAAUCUAACUUUUUCCGACUUCAAGACAAAGCUAAGAAGUUUUGAGGACACGGAAAAGUUUCGCACGGUUUCUGAGGACAACAUCAUGAAAGUGGCUGCACCUGUCUCAGAUUGGAGACGCAGAGAGAGAAAUGCAUGUCCAGAGAUUACAUGUUACACGUGUGGCGAGAAAGGACAUAAGGCGCGUGUAUGUCCAAAUGAGCGCCAAGAAAGGAAGACACAAUGGUGUGGAUAUUGUAAAAGUUCGACACACAAAGAUGCAUCGUGUCGACGCAAAAAGAAGGAUAACAUAAAACAAGCAGCAGAUGACAUCUGUGAGGAACAAUCGUACGCAUUUAAAGUGAGUGAAUGUCAACGUGGCCUGAAGCACAGGGGACUCAUGGUCGACACUGGAGCGACUUCGCAUGUGAUAACGGAUGUACAAAAGUUCCUUAAGUUUGAUGAGUCAUUCCAGCCCCAAAAUCACACAGUUGAACUGGCCGAUGGCACGAGAACAAACGGUGCGGCGCUGAGGAGAGGCGACGCCAAGGUGACGCUGGUGGAUCGCGAGGGGAAGAGGAUUAAAGCCACGCUGAAGAAGGCGCUCUACGUUCCGACGUAUCCACAGGACAUUUUCUCCGUAAAGGCGGCGACGACUAAUGGAGCCUCAGUCAACUUUAGAGAAGGCCACAGUGAACUCAUCCACAAGAGCGGGACCAGGUUUGACAUCAAAGAGUACAACAGACUCUAUUACUUGAAUACUGUAAAUGAUGUAACUGAUGAGUUGUAA
Molecule: long non-coding RNA, 1308 nt
Filed under: Takifugu rubripes (torafugu)
Lineage: Eukaryota; Metazoa; Chordata; Actinopteri; Tetraodontiformes; Tetraodontidae
Description: lncRNA (ENSTRUG00000030370.1)
Source: RNAcentral